GCAGUCUGCCAUGGCAUUACAAAUUCGAAACCACUUUGUGAAUUUUGUGUUGGAUCUUGCAUAAUUCUGAAACAUUAAUGCUCCUCUCCAAUUCAUUCUUGGGUUAUCUGGCUAGUUACAAGUAAAUCUGGUGGAUUAGUUAUGGGCAAUGAAUUAUGAACUUGUCCCUUAGGCACAUUGAACUAUCCCAAGGUUUUCUAGUCCUUGGGUGGACGAACCCUUCAUACUUUGAGGCGAGAAUAAAUUAUACUCUUAAGCUCAUAAUUUUUCCCAAAUUAAUUAUCAAAAUUUAUGGAUCUUUACAGGUACACAGAGUCGAAAUGUUGGAGAGAUUGGAACGCUGGAUGCUUCGUGGAGGCUGAUUAUCGCUCCUGUUGAGAUUGGGUUUUCCCCCUUCAGCCAAUCUUUAACUGUGAUUAUGGAUUCCAUUAAAUCAUUUUAUCGUGACGCUUGGAGUUCCUGGGGAGAGAUACCUGUCUUUGACAGAGAACAAAUGUGGAAUCACUUUAAGACGAAGUGCGUAUGGUAUACCGAACAUGAUUAUCAAAUAUUUUAUAAUUUUGAGAUAGCCGCUGCUUUUAUGCUUAAUAAUUUCUUGUGGAGUGCUUGGGAAAGGAACCAGAAGCCCGAUUGGAUUCUAGAAGGUUUAUGGGCUAGACUUAAUGAAAAGUGAACCACUGAGAAAUUUCAAAAGAUAAGCAUCCAACAUGUUGAGAAAAAUAAGAAAGAUGGUCAUAGUACUUUGUUUGAGCCACAUGUUGAGAGGACAAAUGUAAGAUCUUAGCUUCAGAGCUAAUAUGUUUUCCUUA
Solanum tuberosum (potato) is the source of this 809-nucleotide long non-coding RNA. RefSeq lists it as uncharacterized. The record is from RefSeq and is a predicted model, not a curated record. Lineage: Eukaryota; Viridiplantae; Streptophyta; Magnoliopsida; Solanales; Solanaceae. The transcript has 3 exons.